UACGUAGGGUGCAAGCGUUAAUCGGAAUUACUGGGCGUAAAGCGUGCGCAGGCGGUUCGCUGUGUCCGAUGUGAAAGCCCCGGGCUUAACCUGGGAAUGGCAUUGAGGACUGUGUGGCUUGAGUGCGGCAGAGGGAGGUGGAAUUCCACGUGUAGCAGUGAAAUGCGUAGAGAUGUGGAGGAACACCGAUGGCGAAGGCAGCCUCCUGGGCCGACACUGACGCUGAGGGCACGAAAGCGUGGGGAGCAAACAGG
Molecule: ribosomal RNA, 254 nt
Filed under: uncultured bacterium
Lineage: Bacteria
Description: partial 16S ribosomal RNA
Rfam family: Bacterial small subunit ribosomal RNA
Source: RNAcentral